Molecule: ribosomal RNA, 579 nt
Filed under: uncultured bacterium
Lineage: Bacteria
Description: bacterial SSU rRNA
Rfam family: Bacterial small subunit ribosomal RNA
Source: RNAcentral
CAUGCCGCGUGCAGGAUGAAGGCCUUCUGGGUUUGUAAACUGCUUUUAUCAGAGUAAGAAACCACAGAUUUCUAUAUUCGUGCCAGACUGGUACCUGAGUGAAUAACGCGCCGUGGCUAACUCCAGUGCCCAGCAGCUCGCCGGUAAUAUCGGAUGGGUGCAGUGCAGUUAUCCAGGAUUCACUAAGGUUUAAAAGGGUGUGUAGGCAGGGCUUGUAAGUCAGAGGUGAAAUCUCCGAGCUCAACUUGGAAACAUGCUUGGAUACUAUAGGUCUUGAAUAUCGUUGAGGUAGGCGGAAUAUGUCAUGUAGCGGUGAAAUGCUUAGAUAUGACAUAGAACACCGAUUGCGAAGGCAGCUUGCUAAACGAUUAUUGACGCUGAGGCUCGAAAGUGUGGGGAUCAAACAGGAUUAGAUACCCUGGUAGUCCACACUGUAAACGAUGAUUACUCGCUGCUGAGGGGUGACCUUCAGUGGCUUAGCGAAAGCGAUAAGUAAUCCACCUGGGGAGUACGCCGGGAACGGUGAAACUCAAAGGAAUUGACGGGGGCCCGCACAAGCGGAGGAGCAUGUGGUUUAAU